GACGAACGCUGGCGGCGUGCUUAACACAUGCAAGUCGAACGAGACGAUUGAAAGCUUGCUUUCGAAAGUCGAGUGGCAAACGGGUGAGUAACGCGUAGACAACCUGCCUUUGAGAUGGGGACAACAGUGCGAAAGGACUGCUAAUACCGAAUGUUGUAUAUUUUCCACAUGGAAGAUAUAUUAACGAUGGGCUCUAUUUAUAAUCUAUCGCUCAAAGAUGGGUCUGGGUCUGAUUUGCUAGUUGGUGGGGUAACGGCCAACCAAGGCGACGAUCAGUAGCCGGUCUGAGAGGAUGAACGGCCACAUUGGGACUGAGACCCGGCCCAGACUCAUACGGGAGGCAGCAGUGGGGAAUCUUCCACAAUGGACGAAAGUCUGAUGGAGCAACGCCGCGUGAGUGAAGAAGGGUUUCGGCUCGUAAAGCUCUGUUGUCGGGGACGAAUGUGCAUUACUUGAAUAAAGUAGUGUAAUGACGGUACCUGACGAGGAAGCCACGGCUAACUACGUGCCAGCCGCCGCCGUAA
RNAcentral lists this ribosomal RNA (524 nucleotides) under uncultured bacterium. RNAcentral's name for it is "partial 16S ribosomal RNA". It matches the Rfam family "Bacterial small subunit ribosomal RNA", at positions 28 to 523 of the family's 1533-position model. The record is from RNAcentral.